Molecule: ribosomal RNA, 572 nt
Filed under: [Eubacterium] saphenum
Lineage: Bacteria; Bacillati; Bacillota; Clostridia; Peptostreptococcales; Anaerovoracaceae
Description: bacterial SSU rRNA
Rfam family: Bacterial small subunit ribosomal RNA
Source: RNAcentral
GAAACCCUGAUGCAGACAACGACCGCGUGAGGUAUGAAGGCUCGUGGGUGUGUAAGCCUCUGUCCUAGGGGAAGAAAAAAAUGACGGUACCCGAGGAGGAAGCCCCGGCUAACUACGUGCCAGCAGCCGCGGUAAUACGUAGGGGGCAAGCGUUAUCCGGAAUUAUUGGGCGUUAAAGAGUGCGUAGGUGGUCUACUAAGCGCGAGGUGAAAGGCAAUGGCUCAACCAUUGUUAGCCUUGUGAACUGGCAGACUUGAGUGCAAGAGAGGAAAGCGGAAUUCCUAGUGUAGCGGUGAAAUGCGCAGAUAUUAGGAGGAACACCGGCGGCGAAGGCGGCUUUCUGGAUUGUAACUGACACUGAGGCACGAAAGCGUGGGUAGCAAACAGGAUUAGAUACCCUGGUAGUCCACGCCGUAAACGAUGAGCACUAGGUGUCGGGACAUGAGUCUCGGUGCCGCAGUUAACGCAAUAAGUGCUCCGCCUGGGGAGUACGCACGCCAGUGUAAAACUCAAAGGAAUUGACGGGGGACCGCACAAGCAGCGGAGCAUGUGGUUUAAUUCGAAGCACGCGA